AGAUGAACUGCUGGCGGUAUGCUUAACACAUGCAAGUCGAACGAAAUCUUUCGGGAUUUAGUGGCGGACGGGUGAGUAACGCGUGAGAAUCUGCCUUCAGGUCUGGGACAACCACUGGAAACGGUGGCUAAUACCGGAUGUGCCGAGAGGUGAAAGGUUAACUGCCUGAAGAUGAGCUCGCGUCUGAUUAGCUAGUAGGUGUGGUAAAAGCGCACCUAGGCGACGAUCAGUAGCUGGUCUGAGAGGACGAUCAGCCACACUGGGACUGAGACACGGCCCAGACUCCUACGGGAGGCAGCAGUGGGGAAUUUUCCGCAAUGGGCGAAAGCCUGACGGAGCAAUACCGCGUGAGGGAGGAAGGCUCUUGGGUCGUAACCUCUUUUCUCAGGGAAGAACACAAUGACGGUACCUGAGGAAUAAGCAUCGGCUAACUCCGUGCCAGCAGCCGCGGUAAUACGGAGGAUGCAAGCGUUAUCCGGAAUGAUUGGGCGUAAAGCGUCCGCAGGUGGCUAUGUAAGUCUGCUGUUAAAGAGUCUAGCUCAACUAGAUAAGAGCAGUGGAAACUACAUGGCUAGAGUGCGUUCGGGGCAGAGGGAAUUCCUGGUGUAGCGGUGAAAUGCGUAGAGAUCAGGAAGAACACCGGUGGCGAAGGCGCUCUGCUAGGCCGCAACUGACACUGAGG
RNAcentral lists this ribosomal RNA (682 nucleotides) under uncultured cyanobacterium. Its description in RNAcentral is "bacterial SSU rRNA". It matches the Rfam family "Bacterial small subunit ribosomal RNA", at positions 26 to 751 of the family's 1533-position model. Lineage: Bacteria; Bacillati; Cyanobacteriota. The record is from RNAcentral.